GAUUUACUGUAUAGAGAAGUUAAAUAGCUAUAUAAACUUAAUUUCACUAAACUUGAGUAAAUUAAUAUGUCACUAAAACUGUUACUAUGAAAAAGCAGUUAAGACAAUCAUGAAUAAUAUUUUACAUCAAUCACCAAUGUUACUUUUUUUUAAGGUAUGCAGAAUCUGUGGGAGCAAAACAUUAUCAUACUUCAGCCAAACAGAACAAAGGAAUUGAGGAACUCUUUCUUGACCUUUGUAAAAGGAUGAUAGAAACAGCACAAGUGGAUGAGAGAGCAAAAGGCAAUGGCUCUAGUCAGCCGGGAACUGCAAGGCGAGGUGUACAGAUUAUUGAUGAUGAACCUCAAGCCCAGACCAGUGGUGGAGGGUGCUGUUCUUCUGGAUAACUGUUCACGCCUAAGA
RNAcentral lists this small RNA (402 nucleotides) under Pongo abelii (Sumatran orangutan). RNAcentral describes it as "retained intron". Lineage: Eukaryota; Metazoa; Chordata; Mammalia; Primates; Hominidae. The record is from RNAcentral.